RNAcentral lists this transfer RNA (73 nucleotides) under Camelus bactrianus (Bactrian camel). It matches the Rfam family "tRNA". From Rfam's summary of the family: Transfer RNA (tRNA) molecules are approximately 80 nucleotides in length. RNAcentral also lists the same sequence under 2 other names. The record is from Rfam by way of RNAcentral. Lineage: Eukaryota; Metazoa; Chordata; Mammalia; Artiodactyla; Camelidae.
AAGGGCAUAGCUCAAGUGGUAGAGCACAUGCUUAACAUGCACGAGGUCCUGGGUUCAAUCCCCAGUACCUCCA